Molecule: ribosomal RNA, 253 nt
Filed under: uncultured bacterium
Lineage: Bacteria
Description: partial 16S ribosomal RNA
Rfam family: Bacterial small subunit ribosomal RNA
Source: RNAcentral
UACGGAGGGUGCAAGCAUUAAUCGGAUUUAUUGGGCGUAAAGGGCGUGUAGGCGGAGACAUAAGUCUGACGUGAAAUUCCGGAACUCAACUCCGGAGCUGCGUUGGAAACUGCGUUUCUUGAGGGUAGACGGAGAAAAUGGAAUUCCACAUGUAGCGGUGAAAUGCGUAGAUAUGUGGAGGAACACCUGUGGCGAAAGCGAUUUUCUAGUUUAUACCUGACGCUAAGGCGCGAAAGCAAGGGGAGCAAACAGG